CAGUGUCUCAUAGAAUCCUUCAGUGGCUUCCAAGUGAUGACCAAAAGCCCAACUCUUCCCCACCUAUCAGCAAAAGAUGUGAAAUGUGGUCACUGAGAGUAUAUGCACCUGCUUGCAGGGGACAACCAGGGCACAAGCUUCUCACAUCUCCCCAGGGUCCAUGCAGGCUCUCAAGGUUUUCUAGCUGUGGCAACUGAGACAAAGAGAAGGUAAAUGAUCAGCUGGCAGACAAGCACAAAACUCCAGCUCCCCAGAUUACUUCGCUGCUCCCAUCUGCUGGCUGACAUUCUCUUCUUUACUGCAGGAAACAUGCUGCUCUGGUGGGAAGGGACCAAGGCAGUGUUCCUUAGGAGAAAAGGACAUGCCAGGCCUGUAUGGAAAUCAGUGAGACCUGAAACAUUGGUAUUUACCUAUGCAAGUUGAAAGGUUUCUGGGCAGCAGUGAGAAUUUGUGCAUGCACAUUUUCAAGUUUGUAUAUGACUGAUUCACUCCAAUACAAUUUCUGCUCUUACAUCAGAAAAGCAGCUUGAGUAUUCUUAAUGGCUUUUAAAAUUGAAUUGUGAUGAUGACUCAGAAGAGAGUAUAGCUGAAGAUGGA
Molecule: long non-coding RNA, 597 nt
Filed under: Anser brachyrhynchus (Pink-footed goose)
Lineage: Eukaryota; Metazoa; Chordata; Aves; Anseriformes; Anatidae
Description: lncRNA (ENSABRG00000020060.1)
Source: RNAcentral